RNAcentral lists this ribosomal RNA (277 nucleotides) under uncultured bacterium. Its description in RNAcentral is "partial 16S ribosomal RNA". It matches the Rfam family "Bacterial small subunit ribosomal RNA", at positions 335 to 600 of the family's 1533-position model. The record is from RNAcentral.
ACUCCUACGGGAGGCAGCAGUGGGGAAUAUUGCACAAUGGGCGCAAGCCUGAUGCAGCCAUGCCGCGUGUAUGAAGAAGGCCUUCGGGUUGUAAAGUACUUUCAGCAGUGAGGAAGGUGGGUAUGUUAAUAAGCAUGCACUUCAUUUGACGUUAGCUGCAGAAGAAGCACCGGCUAACUCCGUGCCAGCAGCCGCGGUAAUACGGAGGGUGCGAGCGUUAAUCGGAAUUACUGGGCGUAAAGCGCAUGCAGGCGGCUUGUUAAGUCAGAUGUGAAAG